UACGAAGGGGGCUAGCGUUGCUCGGAAUCACUGGGCGUAAAGCGCACGUAGGCGGACUCUUAAGUCAGGGGUGAAAUCCUGGAGCUCAACUCCAGAACUGCCUUUGAUACUGAGAGCCUUGAGUCCGGAAGAGGUAAGUGGAACUGCGAGUGUAGAGGUGAAAUUCGUAGAUAUUCGCAAGAACACCAGGGGCGAAGGCGGCUCACUGGCCCGAUACUGACGCUGAGGCACGAAAGCGUGGGGAGCAAACAGG
This 253-nucleotide ribosomal RNA is filed under the name uncultured bacterium. RNAcentral's name for it is "partial 16S ribosomal RNA". It matches the Rfam family "Bacterial small subunit ribosomal RNA", at positions 524 to 776 of the family's 1533-position model. The record is from RNAcentral.